Molecule: ribosomal RNA, 433 nt
Filed under: uncultured bacterium
Lineage: Bacteria
Description: partial 16S ribosomal RNA
Rfam family: Bacterial small subunit ribosomal RNA
Source: RNAcentral
AGCGAACGCUGGCGGCAGGCCUAACACAUGCAAGUCGAACGAACUCUUCGGAGUUAGUGGCGGACGGGUGAGUAACACGUGGGAACGUGCCUUUAGGUUCGGAAUAACUCAGGGAAACUUGUGCUAAUACCGAAUGUGCCCUUCGGGGGAAAGAUUUAUCGCCUUUAGAGCGGCCCGCGUCUGAUUAGCUAGUUGGUGAGGUAAAGGCUCACCAAGGCGACGAUCAGUAGCUGGUCUGAGAGGAUGAUCAGCCACAUUGGGACUGAGACACGGCCCAAACUCCUACGGGAGGCAGCAGUGGGGAAUCUUGCGCAAUGGGCGAAAGCCUGACGCAGCCAUGCCGCGUGAAUGAUGAAGGUCUUAGGAUUGUAAAAUUCUUUCACCGGGGACGAUAAUGACGGUACCCGGAGAAGAGGCCCCGGCUAACUUCGUG